RNAcentral lists this ribosomal RNA (254 nucleotides) under uncultured bacterium. Its description in RNAcentral is "partial 16S ribosomal RNA". It matches the Rfam family "Bacterial small subunit ribosomal RNA", at positions 524 to 777 of the family's 1533-position model. The record is from RNAcentral.
UACAGAGGGGGCAAGCGUUGUUCGGAAUUACUGGGCGUAAAGGGCGCGUAGGCGGCCUGUUAAGUCGAACGUGAAAUCCCCGGGCUCAACCCGGGAACUGCGUCCGAUACUGGCAGGCUUGAAUUCGGGAGAGGGAUGCGGAAUUCCAGGUGUAGCGGUGAAAUGCGUAGAUAUCUGGAGGAACACCGGUGGCGAAGGCGGCAUCCUGGACCGACACUGACACUGAGGAGCGAAAGCCAGGGGAGCAAAGCGGG